RNAcentral lists this ribosomal RNA (393 nucleotides) under uncultured bacterium. RNAcentral describes it as "bacterial SSU rRNA". It matches the Rfam family "Bacterial small subunit ribosomal RNA", at positions 143 to 518 of the family's 1533-position model. The record is from RNAcentral.
AUAGCCCAGGGAAACCUGGAUUAAGUACCGGAUGGAGACGGGACCCGCGAUGGCGGGACCCGGGAAAGGCGCUGCGGCGCCGCCGGGGGAUGAGUCUGCGUCCCGAUUAGCUAGACGGCGGGGUAACGGCCCACCGUGGCGACGAUGGGUAGCCGGCCUGAGAGGGUGGACGGCCACAUUGGAACUGAGACACGGUCCAGACUCCUACGGGAGGCAGCAGCUAAGAAUCUUCCGCAAUGGGCGAAAGCCUGACGGAGCGAACCGCCGCGUGAACGAAGAAGGCCGUGAGGUUGUAAAGUUCUUUUCGGGAGGGGGAACAACCGUGGCAGGGAAUGGCCGCGGGAUGACGUGAAUCCCGGAAUAAGCCCCGGCUAACUACGUGCCAGCAGCAGC